GAAGGUGGCAAGCGUUGUCCGGAACUAUUGGGCGUAAAGCGCGCGCAGGCGGUUCUUUAAGUCUGAUGUGAAAGCCCACGGCUCAACCGUGGAGGGUCAUUGGAAACUGGAGAACUUGAGUACAGAAGAGGAAAGCGGAAUUCCACGUGUAGCGGUGAAAUGCGUAGAGAUGUGGAGGAACACCAGUGGCGAAGGCGGCUUUCUGGUCUGUAACUGACGCUGAGGCGCGAAAGCGUGGGGAGCAAACAGGGAUUAGAUACCCUGGUAGUCCACGCCGUAAACGAUGAGUGCUAAGUGUUAGGGGGUUUCCGCCCCCUUAGUGCUGCAGCUAACGCAUUAAGCACUCCGCCUGGGGAGUACGGCCGCAAGGCUG
This 373-nucleotide ribosomal RNA is filed under the name uncultured organism. RNAcentral's name for it is "partial 16S ribosomal RNA". It matches the Rfam family "Bacterial small subunit ribosomal RNA", at positions 527 to 896 of the family's 1533-position model. The record is from RNAcentral.